UAGGAAUAUUGGACAAUGGGGGCAACCCUGAUCCAGCCAUGCCGCGUGUGUGAAGAAGGCCUUAGGGUUGUAAAGCACUUUCAGCUGUGAAGAUAAUGACAGUAGCAGAAGAAGAAGCUCCGGCUAAAUUCGUGCCAGCAGCCGCGGUAAUACGAAUGGAGCGAGCGUUGUUCGGAAUCACUGGGCGUAAAGGGUGCGCAGGCGGUCAUGAAAGUUAGAAGUGAAAUCCCAGGGCUUAACCCUGGAAUGGCUUUUAAAACUCCAUGACUAGAGUAUUGGAGAGGUUGGCGGAAUUCCGAGUGUAGAGGUGAAAUUCGCAGAUAUUCGGAGGAACACCAAUGGCGUAGGCAGCCAACUGGACAAUUACUGACGCUCAUGCACGAAAGCGUGGGGAUCAAAC
Molecule: ribosomal RNA, 400 nt
Filed under: uncultured bacterium
Lineage: Bacteria
Description: bacterial SSU rRNA
Rfam family: Bacterial small subunit ribosomal RNA
Source: RNAcentral